This 4966-nucleotide long non-coding RNA is filed under the name Homo sapiens (human). Its description in RNAcentral is "HSALNT0402919". The record is from RNAcentral. Lineage: Eukaryota; Metazoa; Chordata; Mammalia; Primates; Hominidae.
CACAUGCUCCACUCUUCUCCCUCCUUGCCAAGGAAGAAGUCUUAACUUGUGCACUUCCUCCCCCAAUUGUGCCAUGCUGUGCCAACCAUAUCAAGCCACCUGCUGCUUUCCAUUGUCCUCAGUGACCCCCAGACAUUCAAAUUAUGCUAGUUCUGUGGGCACACCAAUCAAGGAAGUAAGAGACCUGUUUCUUGGGCAGCUCUCUGAAAAGCUGGAAUGUUGGAGGCAUGCUCUAUUCUUUUCUCCCAGAGGAAAAAGAUGUGAAGAGGCAUUCUGUCUUGGCACUGAGCUGUGCUAACUUGGGGGAGAGGCUGAUGCAGAUUGACCUUGCUAGGUUAUAGAGGCAUGUUCUAUCGUCUUUAUUAAGGUAUGCCAUUUAGUGAGGGUAUGCUUAGUGCAGGUUGUAUGUAUAAUUAAAUGUACAAUUAUGAUCCUACAAUAAAACACAACAGAUUAAUAACUUUCCUACUGAGAGGAAACUGAAAAGUAGGACAAUAGUAAAGGAAAACUAAUUCUUUAUGUUUGUAAGUGAUUUUCAUCAAUGGCUUCCACUAAUUCUUUUCAAUUUUCCAAAUAAAUAAAACUUAAGUAACUUUUAAUUUUCUUUUAUAAAGUCAACUCUUGUCUAGAGAAAUUUGGGGGUGAGGGGGAUAAUCCAUGCAUAAUUUAAAAAUGGAAAUUUUAGAUGAAGGAUGGAUACUGUGUUUCUGUCUUAAUUUAGAUAAAGUGAAACAAUAAAACUGUGACCAGUCUUUGCAUUUAUUAUUUUUUUCAUUAAUUUGUUUACUCAUUCAUUUCUUCAUUCAAAAAAACUUUACCACAUUCUUAUGUGCCAGGCAUGGAAACUCUCAUGUAUUUGACUUGUGACAUGCUAUUCUUUCUUCCUUUGUCCAUUUCUUAUUCCAUUGGAUAAUUUACUUCCCUGACUCUUUCAUGUGUCCUAGUAGUUUAGCUGUGAAGUCCAUCUUGCAUAUCUAUGCAGAUUAAACUUGUAUAAUCAUGUUUUCCCCUGUCAAUCUAUUCCUAUGCUUCCUGAGCUCCCUGUGCCCACCCUCCUUUCCUUUUGUUGGAGCAACUUGAUCUUUACUGACACAUUCAAGCCCAGUUCAUUCUCUGAAACUUGUCCUGCCCUUAGUCUAGGGUAUUUAAGGAAUCCUUUAUGAGUAACUUGCAGGACAUGACAUCAAAAGUCAACAUUACUGCUAAUUCUGCUUGUGGGUCCUUCGUUUUCUGUUUGAAAUAAUGAUGCAUUUUCUUUUGUCAUUGGUUAGUUCUCCAUUUGAAAUUCUGUUUUCUCCUAAGUAAAGCAUUUCAUUAGGCUGAUAAUCCCAGCUUGAACUGUAGUCUCCGAUCUGGGCCAGACUUCUCCAUCUAGUCUCUGCACAUCAUUUACUUUGAACACUUCUGUCUAUGUUUGUUUCACUACAGAGAUAUUACCUUAGGUGAGACACUAUUUCUUGCCUGUAUAAGCUGAGAAAUACUCUAAGGUAUUUCUAGACAUUCAUCUCCUACUCAGAGGAAUUCACUACAAUCUGUUCAUCUUCCUAGUUCCCUCACCAUACAGACACUGACAUCUCUAAGGUCACAAAUUAAUUUCUUUUUGGCAUAUUCAAUGGGCUUUUAUCAAAGCCUCCCCUAUGUUAGAAUCUCUGCACAUUUAUCUUCUGUAACUCAGUUUUUUGCUGGUUCUCAUCUCUCCUCUGGAUCCUUCAUGGUUUUCUUCUAUGUGUUUUUUCCUUUAAUAUUGAUGUUUUCCAGGCUUCUGUCUCUAAGUCAUUGGUCAAAAUAUUUUUUAUUGAUACACGAUAAAUUUAAAUGUGUUUGUGGUACAUGUGACAUUUCGAUACAUUCACAUAAUGUGUAAUAAUCAAAUCAGGGUUAUUUGGAUAUCCAUCACCUUAAACAUUCAUAUUUUCUUUAUGCUGGAAACAUUGUAAUUAUUCAUCACUACCUCUUUUGAAAUGUACAAUAGGUUACUGUUUACUAUAAUUACUGAUUUACUUAAUACGAGGGAUUAUUUCUUCUAUCUGACUAUAUUUUUAUACCUCACUUUAUCCCUUUCUUCUCCCUACCCGCUUGUCAUUUUUAAUACUCUAUGGGUGAUCUUGUCCAGUCUCUUGUUUCAACUGCUAUACAGCCCAGCCUUAAUCCCCAUGCUCUAGAUUUAUAUAUUCAAACUUCCGUCAACCACUUACCAUCACGUUGAUCCUAAUAGUUUGAAAUCUGAAUGUGUCAUCUUCCCUCUAAAUGGCUCCUCUUCCUGAAUUGCUGUCUAAUCCUUUUCCUCUCCCACAGUUCCAUAUCUACCCAUCCAUAGUUCUAAUACUUUUAAUGCUUAAGUGUUUCUCCACUUUUUCUGCUCUUUUUCUUUUAUCCCCACUAGCUAAUUCUGGCUGGAUCAUCAUAGCUGUUUUUACUACUCUCUCUGCCUCUAGUUUUGUCACAUUUAAGCCUGUCUUCUACACCUCUGCUGCCUAAGCUAUCCCUUUCCACUGCCCCUAUUGGCAGCUAUCUUGUAGUCAUCUUCAGCUCAAUGCCAUUUCUCCAUUUAUUCCAAGAUGACCACUAUGAUGCUGGAAUUCUUGCCCAAUCUCUCUCUGCCAUGCUGAGUUAGGUGUCCUUCAGCUAUACUCAAAGAUAUUAUGUGAAUAUCUAUAUUAUCUUAAUUACCUGUUUAUAUAUCAUACCUUCCUUUGCAUUUUCAAUGUUACCUUGCCUACUACUCCUCACAAAAUACAACUCAGGUAUUACUUGUGGGUUGCUUCAUUUUCCAGUAAGUUUAUUUCAAUAAGGAGGUAAUAUGGAUGCUGUUAGUAUCUUGGCACUUAUUUUUCUUAUUCUUUUCUUUUUUUAGAAGGUGUUUCACUCUUGUUGCCCAGGCUGAAGUGCAAUGGCACGAUCUCGGCUCACUGCAACCUCCGUCUCCCGGGUUCAAGUGAUUCUUCUGCCUCAGCCUCCCGAGUAGCUGGAAUUACAGGCAUAUGCCACCACACCCAGCUAAUUUUCCAUUUUUAGUAGGGACGGGGUUUUACCAUGUUGGUCAGGCUGGUCUUGAACUCCUGACCUCAGGUGAUCCACCUGCCUUGGUCUCCUAAAGUGCUGGGAUAGCAAGCAUGAACCGCUGCGUCUGGCCCAUUUUUCUUAUUCUUAAACAUCCUACUAAACAUUUUGGAGCUAGUUGUAUUAGGAGGUUUAUUUUCUAUGUGGAUGGAGCAGUUUAAAAAAGCUGAAAUAAGUGAAAUCUUCCAAGUGAUUUAAAAAAUUUUUAAGCCCAUGUUUCUACCUACUAAAAUUCAAAAAUAUUUACUAUAGAAGAUGACUAGUCUUCUUUAUGACAGUUAUUUUAAUUUAAAAGGAAUUAAAAGGAUAUAACUUUUCUUGAAACAUUUGCACUUAAUCAUGCUGUCAAUUCAUUAUAUGAUUUUGGAUUACUUGCUUAAUGUUUCUAUUUCUUCUCUGUUAAUACUAAUUACUCCUAAUAAUUAUAAGAAUUGUUAUUGUAUCCAAUUUAGAAAUCCUGUUAUGGAAGCUAUUUUUAUAGUGUAUUAUGAUUAAUGCAUACAAUGUCCAUGUAAACUUUCAAUUUUUAAAUGUGACACUACUUAUCUAUUGAACACUUACCAUGUGCUAGGCACUGUUCUUGAAUGCUUUAUGCAUAAAAGCACAUUUAAUCCCAUCAUAGCCAAUAAAGUAUUAUUACCUUGAUUUUACAAAUGAGAUAACUCAGAUAUGCAGACAUCGAGUAACUUGGCCAAGUAUACGUGUUAUGGAUUGAAUUGUGUCCUCCCAAUAUUCAUGUGUUGAAUCACUAACCCCUAAUGUGACUAUAUUUGGAGACAGAGUUUUUAAGGAGGUUAAUAAGUUAAAUGAGGUCACAAGUGUGGGGCUAUAAUCCAAUAGGACCAAUGACCUUCUAAGAAGAGGAAGACACACCAGGCAUGCACACGCACAGAAAAGAAGACCAUGUGAGGGCACAGCAAGAAGAUGGCCAUCUGCAAACUAAGAGGAGAGGCCUCAUUAGAACCUAACCCUGCACCAUGAUCAUGGACUUCCAGCCUUCAGAGUUAGGAAAAUAAAAUUCUGUUGUUUAUGCCACCAAAUCUGUGGUAUUCGCUUAUGAAAACCAUAGAAAAUUAUACAAUACCCAACAAGCAAAUAGCAGAAUGGAAUUAAACCCAUAAAGGAUGGCUUCAAAGGCAAUGCUUAACCACUAUACUGCCUUUAAAAAUUGUCCUAACAGUUCAACUUCAAUUACAGAAAGUUUAUAAUAAUUAGAUGUUAAUACUUUUAUGCUUAACUUUAUAUUUCUAUUUCAAAUGCUUAUUUCCUUUUCAAUAGUUAAUAUUUUCUGGACAGCAAUUCUGGACUAUUUUCUAAAUUCUCUGUUUUCUAAAUUCUUAUGUCAUGCCCUCUGUCAUAAGAAUGUUUAUACCCUAUGAUCUUCUAAAAAUAAAUCCUUAAAAGAUGAUAUGGUUUGGCUAUGUGUCCUCACCCAAAUCUCAUGUUAAAUUGUAAUCCCCAUUGUUGGAGGAUGGACCCAGUGGAAGGUAAUUGGAUCGGGGGGUGGAUUUUCCCCUUGCUGUUCUCACUAUAGUGAGUGAGUUCUCAGGAGAUCUGGUUGUUUAAAAGUGUGUAGCACUUCCCUGUUUGCCCACUGUCUCUCUGUCUCCUGCUCUGACAUGGUAAGACAUGUUUGCUUCCCCUUCACCUUCCACCCUGAUUGUAAGUUUCUUGAGGCCUCCCAGCCAUGCUUCCUGUACAGCCUAUCGAGCUGUGAGUCAAUUAAACCUCUUUUCUUUAUAAAUUACUCAGUCUCACAUAGUUCUUUAUAGCAGUGUGAAAAUGAACUAACAUAAAAACUUAGUACUAGAGGAGUUGGGCAUUGCUAUAAAGAUACUUGAAAAUGUGGAAGUGACUUUGGAACUGGAUAAUGGGCAGAGGUUGGAACAAUUUGGAGGGAUCAGAA